Molecule: ribosomal RNA, 487 nt
Filed under: uncultured Sphingobacteriales bacterium
Lineage: Bacteria; Pseudomonadati; Bacteroidota; Sphingobacteriia; Sphingobacteriales
Description: bacterial SSU rRNA
Rfam family: Bacterial small subunit ribosomal RNA
Source: RNAcentral
AGCCAUGCCGCGUGCAGGAAGACGGCCCUAUGGGUUGUAAACUGCUUUUGUCAGGGAAUAAACCUUUGUACGUGAUACAGAGCUGAAGGUACCUGAAGAAUAAGCAUCGGCUAACUCCGUGCCAGCAGCCGCGGUAAUACGGAGGAUGCAAGCGUUAUCCGGAUUCAUUGGGUUUAAAGGGUGCGCAGGCGGAUUGCUAAGUCAGGGGUGAAAUCCCACAGCUCAACUGUGGAACUGCCCUUGAUACUGUCAGUCUAGAGUAUAGUUGAAGUUGGCGGAAUGUGUCAUGUAGCGGUGAAAUGCUUAGAUAUGACACAGAACACCGAUCGCGAAGGCAGCUAGCUAAGCUAUAACUGACGCUCAUGCACGAAAGCGUGGGGAUCAAACAGGAUUAGAUACCCUGGUAGUCCACGCUGUAAACGAUGAUUACUCGAUGUUGGCGAUACACAGUCAGCGUCUAAGGGAAACCAAUAAGUAAUCCACCUGG